This 510-nucleotide ribosomal RNA is filed under the name uncultured bacterium. Its description in RNAcentral is "bacterial SSU rRNA". It matches the Rfam family "Bacterial small subunit ribosomal RNA", at positions 36 to 507 of the family's 1533-position model. The record is from RNAcentral.
CUGGCGGCGUGCCUAAUACAUGCAAGUCGAACGCACUCUCGUUUAGAUUGAAGGAGCUUGCUCUGAUUGAUAAACAUUUGAGUGAGUGGCGGACGGGUGAGUAACACGUGGGUAACCUGCCCUAAGUGGGGGAUAACAUUUGGAAACAGAUGCUAAUACCGCAUAAAACCUAACACCGCAUGGUGUAGGGUUGAAAGAUGGUUUCGGCUAUCACUUUAGGAUGGACCCGCGGUGCAUUAGUUAGUUGGUGAGGUAAAGGCUCACCAAGACCGUGAUGCAUAGCCGACCUGAGAGGGUAAUCGGCCACACUGGGACUGAGACACGGCCCAGACUCCUACGGGAGGCAGCAGUAGGGAAUCUUCCACAAUGGACGAAAGUCUGAUGGAGCAACGCCGCGUGAGUGAAGAAGGUUUUCGGAUCGUAAAACUCUGUUGUUGGAGAAGAAUGUAUCUGAUAGUAACUGAUCAGGUAGUGACGGUAUCCAACCAGAAAGCCACGGCUAACUACGUG